RNAcentral lists this ribosomal RNA (921 nucleotides) under Triticum aestivum (bread wheat). Its description in RNAcentral is "partial small subunit ribosomal RNA". The record is from RNAcentral. Lineage: Eukaryota; Viridiplantae; Streptophyta; Magnoliopsida; Poales; Poaceae.
AUGGAGGUGGUGACCGGUGCCAUGGGAAGCUUGCUCCCCAAGCUCGGCGAGCUGCUCGUGAGUGAGUACAAGCUGCAAAAGGGCGUCAAGGAGGACGUCGAGUCCCUCGAAAGGGAGAUGAAGAGCAUGAACGCUGCCCUCGUCAAGGUGGCGGAGGUGCCAAGGGACCAGCUGGACAACCAGGUCAUCAUCUGGGCUGACGAGCUCAGGGAGCUGUCGUACGACAUGGAGGAUGUUGUCGACAACUUUCUUGUGUACGUCAAGGGAUCUGAAUCCGAUGCUGUCACCGACUCAAACAAGCUCAAAGGGCUAAUGGUGAAGAUGGCCAACUUGUUCACCAAAGGCAAGACUCGCCAUCAGAUUGCCGAUGCCAUGAAGGACAUCAAGAACCGCGCCCAAGAGGUGGCUGGCCGGCAUAACAGGUACAGGGUUGAUGAGGUUGUUGCCAAUGCAGCUGGCAAACACAAGGUUGACCCUCGUCUGCUGGCAUUGUACAAGGAUCAGAAGGAGCUCGUUGGCAUUGAAGAUGAGCGGAACAAGCUAACCAAGAUGCUCACAGAUGGUGUUGGUGAUGGUGAUGUUCCCAAGCAACAACACAUGAUGAAGAUGGUCUCAAUUGUUGGACCUGGAGGACUUGGCAAGACUACACUUGCUAAGGCAGUGUAUGAUAGGCUUCAAACACAAUUUGAAUGCACAGCUUUUGUUCCAGUGGGUCGAAACCCUGAAGUGAAGAAAGUUUUAAGGGAUAUCCUUUUGGAGGUUGGCAAGAAGCAGGAGCAUAUUGGUGAUGUAGCCAUAUUGGAUGAAAGACAACUCAUCAACAUACUCCAACGACUACUUGAGAAUGCGAGGCGAAACAAGAGGUACUACCAGCGUCCUCUUUGGAUCAUACUACCAGUGUUGGUACGCCUGCUCAGGUAA